ACACGACCGUACCGCAAACCGACACUGGUGCGCGAGAUGAGUAUUCUAAGGCGCUUGAGAGAACUCAGGAGAAGGAACUCGGCAAAUUGACACCGUAACUUCGGAAGAAGGUGUGCCUUUAGUAGGUGAACCUGUACAAGGGGAGCCCAAUGAGGUUGCAAAAAAUCGGUGGCUGCGACUGUUUAAUAAAAACACAGCACUCUGCAAACACGAAAGUGGACGUAUAGGGUGACGCCUGCCCGGUGCUGGAAGAUUAAAUGAUGGGGGUGCAAGCUCUUGAUUGAAGUCCCAGUAAACGGCGGCCGUAACUAUAACGGUCCUAAGGUAGCGAAAUUCCUUGUCGGGUAAGUUCCGACCUGCACGAAUGGCGUAACGAUGGCCACACUGUCUCCUCCUGAGACUCAGCGAAGUUGAAAUGUUUGUGAUGAUGCAAUCUCCCCGCGGAAAGACGGAAAGACCCCAUGAACCUUUACUGUAGCUUUGUAUUGGACUUUGAACAGAUCUGUGUAGGAUAGGUGGGAGGCUUUGAAGUGUGGUCGCUAGAUCGCAUGGAGCCAACGUUGAAAUACCACCCUGGUGUGUUUGAGGUUCUAACCUAGGCCCGUAAUCCGGGUCGGGGACAGUGCAUGGUAGGCAGUUUGACUGGGGCGGUCUCCUCCCAAAGCGUAACGGAGGAGUUCGAAGGUACGCUAGGUACGGUCGGACAUCGUGCUAAUAGUGCAAUGGCAUAAGCGUGCUUAACUGCGAGACUGACAAGUCGAGCAGAUGCGAAAGCAGGACAUAGUGAUCCGGUGGUUCUGUAUGGAAGGGCCAUCGCUCAACGGAUAAAAGGUACUCUGGGGAUAACAGGCUGAUACCGCCCAAGAGUUCAUAUCGACGGCGGUGUUUGGCACCUCGAUGUCGGCUCAUCUCAUCCUGGGGCUGUAGCCGGUCCCAAGGGUAUGGCUGUUCGCCAUUUAAAGAGGUACGUGAGCUGGGUUUAAAACGUCGUGAGACAGUUUGGUCCCUAUCUUCCGUGGGCGCUGCAGAUUUGAGGAAGCCUGCUCCUAGUACGAGAGGACCGGAGUGGACACACCUCUGGUGUAUCGGUUGUCACGCCAGUGGCAUUGCCGAGUAGCUAUGUGUGGAAGAGAUAACCGCUGAAAGCAUCUAAGCGGGAAACUCGUUUCAAGAUGAGAUCUGCCGGGGCCUUGAGCCCCCUAAAGAGUCGUUCAAGACCAGGACGUUGAUAGGUCGGGUGUGGAAGCGCAGUAAUGCGUUAAGCUAACCGAUACUAAUUGCUCGUGCGGCUUGACC
Molecule: ribosomal RNA, 1296 nt
Filed under: metagenome
Description: bacterial LSU rRNA
Rfam family: Bacterial large subunit ribosomal RNA
Source: RNAcentral